This is a non-coding RNA of Schistosoma mansoni, 46 nucleotides long. The record is from Rfam. NCBI's taxonomy places the organism in Eukaryota, Metazoa, Platyhelminthes, Trematoda, Strigeidida, Schistosomatidae.
GCACUGCUGAUGAGUCCCACAAUAGGACGAAAUGGCCGUCCAGUGC